GACGUCAUUACCCUAAGUACAUGUAUGAAGACAUGAAUGUUGUGACUCUACUUUGUGUACAACCAGAGGCAUGAAAAACUGUGCUCUAUAUGUGUACUAUGAAUUGAAAUGCAUUCUGCUAUUAUGUAUAACAAAUUAGAAUAAAUAAAUAAAUUUUUAAAAAGAAUAUACAAAACUACAGUACAAAGCAGAAUAAAAUUUUACAGACAAUGAUUUGUCAGAUACCGUGGAGAGUGAGAGCGUAUUUUAUUAGUGGAAUCAGGAAAUGAAGUAAUUACAAAAUUGAUGGCAUUCUUGCUGUAUCUUGAAGGAUAGGAUUUGGACAGAUGAGGAAGCGCUUUAAGCAGUAAAAGCACAGUGCUGAGAACGUGGGAGGGAACCAUGAGUGUUGCCAUUUAAGGUAGAAGCAGGUAAGUAGUGGUGAAUGGAGUGCCACAUGGGCACAAUUGACUGUACCUCCUUUUGAACAACUGCUUACUCCAGAGUCACUGUACCCACCUGGCUCUUUGCUGGUCUGCCUGGCUGCAGUUUUGCAGUCUUCUUUCC
This 546-nucleotide long non-coding RNA is filed under the name Marmota monax (woodchuck). Lineage: Eukaryota; Metazoa; Chordata; Mammalia; Rodentia; Sciuridae. The record is from RNAcentral.